CAGCAAAGGAUACUCUACAGUGAUUUGAGUCCAUGCAAAACUCCUGUAGUGCUGCAAGAAGCCAGAGAAAAGUUCUGGGAGAAAACAUCACAGAAGGGCACAGGGAAAUCAUCUUCACAGAAGAUAUUUAAGGUUGUAGAGAACUAGGUAUCUGGGGUGUGGAUGGGAGCUCACCAACAUAACCUCCUCAGCCAAUUCUUCCUGCCUUCAGUCAGCUGAAAUUGGCAAUGACUUUGUGAGAGAAUUGUGUGAGUAAAGGGCACUGUUGAGCAAUAUGUCUCUAUUCUCUGUGAUGUCAUUUCUGAUCAAUUUGACUUUCUCAUAAUGGAAUUAUUAUAAAUUUUACUAAUUUUUGGAUGUUCAGUGCUGGGUCUAUUAAUAAGACUGUUUACCUGUAGGAAAGAAAUAGCAAAAA
This 415-nucleotide long non-coding RNA is filed under the name Numida meleagris (helmeted guineafowl). RNAcentral's name for it is "lncRNA (ENSNMEG00000005950.1)". The record is from RNAcentral. Lineage: Eukaryota; Metazoa; Chordata; Aves; Galliformes; Numididae.